GGGCCCGUAGUCUAGCGGUAGGAUUGAAAGCCGUUCCCUAAAGCCCGCCUUACACGGCGCCCGCGCCACAGCGCCUGAGCGCGCGGGAGAUCCCGGGUUCAAAUCCCGGCGGGCCCACCA
This 120-nucleotide transfer RNA is filed under the name Thermoproteus uzoniensis 768-20. Its description in RNAcentral is "tRNA-Val". It matches the Rfam family "tRNA". Rfam says of the family: Transfer RNA (tRNA) molecules are approximately 80 nucleotides in length. Their secondary structure includes four short double-helical elements and three loops (D, anti-codon, and T loops). The record is from RNAcentral. Lineage: Archaea; Thermoproteati; Thermoproteota; Thermoprotei; Thermoproteales; Thermoproteaceae.